GCAAGAAACUAUGUGCUAUUUUGCAUGUCUGAGAUGGAGACUAAGGUGCUGCAUCCUAGAAAGUGUGAACCAGCAAGGUUUACAUUGUACAGUUAGCAGCAUCAAGGCUACAACACGUGGACAAGCAACCAUUGUCAAUGACAACAUUGAUCAAGCAUGUCAUAACCUGCCAGAUAAAAUAGUGACAUAAUUGAACAUGGCCAGCAUUCUGUUCUGCUGACACCUUCUUUAGUAUAACAUGUUUUUAAUGGAUGAAAAAUUAAAGAAAUUGGAAAAAAAUAAUGUGGUUCCAUGCUCACAAUUUCCCUGUGACUUAUUUUUAAAUCACAUCGCCUUUUAUCAGAAAUUGCAUUGCAAGUUGCAGAUUUACUAGAGGAGGGGGGUGGGUGCACCCUCCAAGCCCUGACAGGAGGGGGUGCUUUUUUCAUGAUAAAGCAAAAAAUAAUAGACAAAAUGAGAUACAGUAAUUUGAGCAAUAACAUGAUGAUAAGCAAACUGUGAAGUUGUGAACAACAAUUACAAUUCAAUUACAGUAUGUUGAUUGGUGAGCGGCACACAUGACCGAGACAACUCUGCACCAGAGCUGGGAGAGCAGCCCCCUACCCGAUCAUGCUGGAUCGAUCCCUGUAUUAUUUACAUGGAAGUGAAUCUCUUUUGGUGGCGUAAAGACAUAUUUUUUGUCAAUUUUCAAGUGAAAUCCAAAUUUUUAGAUGGCUGUCUAAAAUGUUAGUCAGCUGGAUCGAGCAGAUGCAGUAGAAUAAUCUUGAGCAUAACAUCUAACAUAAUACAGCAACAAUAUAAAUUGUAUAACUUUGUUUGAUUUAUAAUUAUUGAAAAUAAACACUUCUUACAUUUGGGCAACUUGCACAAUAGUUGCUUGCAAAUUUGUGUCACAGAACAGUCAGCACUAUUAAUAAAGCAGUUUACAACUUUACAUAGUUUACAUGCUGUACAUGUACUCAACAAAUUCCUGAGAUAUUUCUCGCUAACGAGUAACAUACAGCGUAAAAACACAUGGGAUUGUAAAUUCGAAAUUUGUUCUUUGCUGAAAGAUCUCAAAAUUGUCAGUGUACACAAACCAGUUUCAAUAUCAUGUCCACUAAAUUAUAUAACAGUAAUCGACAAUUCCAAGAGGCAAGAACAUCCAUUAUCCAGUUGAAAUUUUGACAUUUACCACUCCAUCUGCCUUCUAGAGUAUUCCGUUUCGCAAGAGUAUUAAUAUUUGAUGUUAUAUGCAUGUAGGAUACAGACCAAAUAUAAUAUAAAUUGAACGAUUGCAAAAAUUCUUAUAAAUUCCAUUCACACUUCGUCGAUCGAUACGAUUUACAUAGUUUCGGCGUGGUUUGACCAUCUGAAUUUCGUUAAAUUGCGGUCCAUUCGUUGUAAGUGCAAAAUAAUCAAUGUUUCAUUCAUAUUUGUAACAAUUUGCAACAUAAAAAUGAUAUUCUCGAUCGAUAUUUUUUCGAAUUGUGUCUGAAUAUAAAAAGAUCGUAUCCUAUGGGAGUAGGGG
Molecule: non-coding RNA, 1510 nt
Organism: Paramuricea clavata
Lineage: Eukaryota; Metazoa; Cnidaria; Anthozoa; Malacalcyonacea; Plexauridae
Source: the annotation of a GenBank genome assembly